Molecule: long non-coding RNA, 4567 nt
Filed under: Medicago truncatula (barrel medic)
Lineage: Eukaryota; Viridiplantae; Streptophyta; Magnoliopsida; Fabales; Fabaceae
Description: long non-coding RNA (MTRU_LNC008775)
Source: RNAcentral
CUAACCAAAUUAUCUUGAGACCCAUUAUUGAAAAGAGCUUGAUCAGAAUGGAAAAGACCUUUGCUUGCAACAAGGUUUUUAUAGUAAUUGUUAUCAAAACUUGUUGGAGUGAGAGUAUCAAGUGGUGCUAAAUUGGUGUCACCACCAGAAAGAGGACAAUUUGAUUUCCUUAAGGUUGCAAAGUUUGUGUCAAUGUUGGUUUCAUUGUAUAUGCGAUUUCUGAAAAAUUGGCACUCUCCUUGGCCUAUGGUGUGUGCACCAGAAAGUACUGUGAGGUCACUUGCAGUUAGACCCUUGGCUGAAAACAUUGUAGUGAGAGUGGAAAGGUCAGAAAAUGGUGAAGGGAUUUGACUAUUUGCUGCACUUUGGCUUGCUGUUCUUGCAUCUCUUCUUCCAAGUGGUACUACCCAUGUUGGUCCUCCAAGCUACAAAUAAAAAAUAAAACUAUUAAUAUGGGUGAAAGUGUAACUCAAGUUUCUCUCAGCGAGAUGGAGUAUAAUUUUUUCUAAUAUGUUUUGCAUCAGAAGAAAGAAAUUGGAAUGGAGUAAUGGACCACUCACCAGAAAUACUCCAUCUCUUGCUGCAAGUGCUAGAAUAUCAGCACAAGAUACAGUGGCAUUGCAAGAAGCUUCAACACUGGUUUUAAUGGUGUCAAUCACUUCGAAACCCCUAGCUGAAUUUUUGUUAGGUGCGGCAUUUUUCUCACCGGUAAAGGUGGCAGUGUCAUCCAAUAAGAUUGAUCCAUCACAUCCCUACAAAAUAAACAUAGAAACGUGAUUAUGCAAUUUUUUAAAAAUAUGGCCCAUAUAUAUAUAAUGCAUAAAUAAAUUAUUUUUGAACAUUAUCUUACAUUAACAAAGCAAUCAUGGAAGAACAAGCGAAGUAUAGAAGCCCCGAUCCGAGGUUCUGUUUUGAUAGCACUAGUCAUUUUAUUGCGCACAAUGGUUUGAAGGCUAGGGCAGGUUGUACCAUAGAAGUUAUUAACAAGUUGUGCAUUUGUAGAACAAGCUAAGAGAGAAAAAAUGGAGAGUAUAACAAAUAAUUUCAUAAAGGUAGCCAUAUUAAUAAAUCUCUAAAUUUUAGAGCUUUAAGCUGCCAAUGGAGUAGCUAAACAAAGUGAGUGAAUUCUGAAGAGACAUGUUAAAGAUUAAGCAAUAUAUAUAGAAGAAUUGUGAGGGUCCAUGCAUGCAUGGAGAUUGGUAUAAGAGUCAGAUUGAGAAGAUAUUAUUUAUGAAAAUAAUAAUUUGUCCCAAUUUUCAAAUUUGUCUGCUCAAUACGCGGUUUAAUUUUUGGGAGCAACUGGUGGAGAAAUUUUGUGAGAUAAGAGUAUGAUGGUUACCCAAGAGUAGUUGACUUAAGCUAUAAUAAUAAAACAAAGGAAAAAGCUGCAAAUAAUGGAAGUUUGUGAGGAAAAGCUCAAAGUAUGAAGUCGUCGUUGCAGGUUCGACAUGCAUGUUUAACGUGGACAAAAGCAUUUCAUUGUACAAUAGUUUUUUCAUAAAACAAAGGUAUUAAUCAAUGAUUAAAAUCCUCUAAUAUACUCGGCCGAUUAAUUCGACCGAUUAAACCGAGAAUUGGUCAGUUUGUCGGUUGAUUUCAUUCCGAUUAUAUUGUAACGUGGUUGAACCGAUUGAAAUGCAUACCACAAUAUGUUUAACCGUUUUUUUCCUUCUUGUUUUUAAUUUUAACUUUUUUAAGUAAAAACUGAAUGUGAAAAUAUCUUAUAAAAGAAAUGAUAUCUCAACUAAGUUGACAAGCGAAAACUAUCAUCUUUCAUUUGUAGCGCUUCUGAAUUUUAAAUUUUAAUAUUUUUUACUUAUUUCGGUAUUUGUCAUCCAAAUCAACCGUGCUUGAACCACAUUAUUAUCAAGAGUUUGGCUGGUCAUGAGAUUUUGAAUGUCAUGGAAGAACAAAUAGACCGGUGCUCUUGUAAUAACUUCAACUUUAUCUCCUUGCAUUUUUUCAUUCAAUCAAGGUAUGCCUAUUUAAUUGUCAAGUAUAAUAGGAUUAAUUUAAGUUUUUUGUCCCCUAUGUUUAAUUACUCACGAAAUUAGUCCCCCAAUUAUAUGAUUUACAAUGUUUGUUCAACUUUUAUUUUACUAACGGUCAAAAAACUUUUAUUUUAUUAAUUAAUAUAUAAUGAGAUGAGAUUGAGAUUGCUUUGUGUGACAUUGUAAUUUAAGAAGGUAUUUAAGAAUUUAUCAAUAAUUAAUUUUUUUUUGACCAACAAUAAUUAAUUAUUAUUUAUGUAUUGGUGAACCAAAAAAAUCCAGCGUGGCAUAUGUUCUUAUUCAAAAAAGAAAUAGCGUGGCAUGCAAAAACUCCAAUCAUCCAUUCAGCACAAGUACUAAUCAUUAACAUUAUAUGACAGUUAUUAGUUUGACCAAUAUUUCACUCAUAGUUGUAUGCAUGGACAUCAACUUGAUUAGAGUUUUUAUUCAAAACGUAAAGAAUUCUAGCUAACACGAGAAAACGCAAAGAGUUUGGGCUAAUUAGUCAAACACAUCUACAUCGUUCUUUGAUUUUUGGUGAUGACAAAUUCAUAUUGCUGAUUAAUUAUUUAUUAUUUUUAAAAUAACCUAUCGACUAUAAUUUCAUCUCUUAAGUGAAUAAAUAAAAAAAUUUAGAUUCAAACACCGACCUUAUAUAUAUAUAUAAUUGGAUACCGAUUAUGUCUUGUAAAUGACUUUUUGGUCAAAAUCAUUUCAUAUCAUUGUCUUAAUUAUACAAAUGGUAUCAUUUUAUAUGAAAAUAUAUCAUUUCAUUGUUUAUAAGAAUCAUACUAAAUUUUUUACAUUUUAUUAUAAAAAAAUAAUCAAUAUUCUCUAUUACGAGUAAUAAAAAUUAAAAAAUAAAUAAAUUUUAUUUCGUUGAAGUUUUUGGAAUACAAGAUUUAGUAAUUAUAAAUUAUAAGCAAUAUAAAAUCAUUUUUUCUUCAAAAAAUAACUCAUUUAACUAUUAAUUUAAAGAUGUAUAAUGUUAACUUGUGCCCUUAGGGCACAUGAUAAGAAUUCCAAUAAUGAAAAUUAUGCAUUGGAAAUUAUGUUAAUUUAUUGUUCAAAAUGUUUAAUAUUAAUUUUUUUUCAUUAAUUUUUACCAUUAGUGACAUGAAAUUAAUGCUUCACAUGUGCCCUAAGGACACAAGUUAACAUGACCUUUUAAAGAUUUGGUGUACUAAUACACUUAAAUUUUCAAAUGUAUCAUAUAAUUUGCCUCGAAUCAAUACAAUACAAAUUGUACUGUGCAAGAUCCGUUAAAAAAAAUUACGAAACAAAUUUUAGGAACAUAUAUUACGGAACAAAUUCUAGGAAUGUAUUAAUUUGUUUUGAACGAAAAUUUCAUGAAGGAUAAUCAUCACAAAUUUCAUGAACGAAAAUUUCAUGAAGCAUACAUUGAAACAAUUUAAAAAAUUAUAUAUGCUAUAUGUUUAACAAACAAUUCAUCUCAUACCCCUUGUUGUGAAUAUUUUCAAUAAACUCGAGAAUUAGUUAAAUAAAUAUUCAACAUCAUGACUAGAUUAAAUUGAAAUAAUAAAAAUACUCCCUCCUGUUUUAUUUAUAAGACUUUUUAAAAAAACAAAUUGGUUCUAUUUAUAAGAAAAAAUCCACUACUUUUAAGAUAUAUUUAUUGUUUAAAAGGUUUUUUAGCCCUUAUUUAAUGUUUGUCCUUUAAAUAUUAGUAAUAGGUAUAUUUAAUAAUGUAGAGAUAUCUAUGAGUGUAUAUUUGUAAAAUCAUUAAAAAGUUGUAACAAUUUAUUAUUGUCUUGGUUUUGAUGUUUAUUUGUGUAUCAUCUAUACAGUCCUUCAUGGAUACAUCACCAUUAAAUUGAAUUCUUUAGAAAUUUACGGAGAAUAAAAAUUAAGUUUUUAAUUUUUGGGGAACUAUACACAAUCAAAUUUUGAUUCCAACAUAAAAUGACUUUUAUCAUUCAUUACUUGAAGUAAAACAAAUACAUGUAUUCCCUUCGUUUCAAAAUGUAAGCAAAAAUGGGUCAACAUAAGUUAUAUAUCUUGUACAAAUUUUGAACCAAAUACAUUAACUUUUGUUGACUAAAUUUUUUCUUACAUUUUGUGAAGGAGGGAGUAUUUGUGAAAAUACAAACAUUCAAAUUAUCCAAAAUGAUAACGCAACAAACAAUACUACUAUUAUCAAUGUGUCUAAGAUCAAGUCACCACAUUGUUUAUUUAAUUGCUUAUAAGCCCUCCAAUAUUCAAUAUCAAUUCACAAGCCUACAAUUCUUUCUGAUCUCCCCAUUAGUCCCAGUGAGAGGACUGAUUUUACUCAGUUUCACCAUAGCAGCAGCAAAGUCUGUAGAAAAAGCAGCCUCAUUGGUACUAUAACUCCUAACCAAAUUAUCUUGAGACCCAUUAUUGAAAAGGACUUGAUCAGAAUGGAAUAGACCUUUGCUUGCAACAAGGUUUUUAUAAUAAUUGUUGUCAAAACUUGUUGGAGUGAGAGUAUCAAGUGGUGCUAAAUUGGUGUCAUUGUCACUAGAAAAAGAACAGUUGGAUUUUCUUAAGGUUGCGAAGUUUGUGUCAAUGUUGGUUUCAUUGUAUAUGCGAGUUCU